UAGAAGUAUCCUUAAAGCUCAGGAGGGAUAGCGCCAUGGCUCAUGGGUUUUGAAUUUGAAUAAUUUUCUUCCUCUUCGAUUACUACUACUACCAUUGCGCUAUCUAUCCUGAGUUUCAUGGCUUCUUCUU
RNAcentral lists this microRNA precursor (130 nucleotides) under Zostera marina. RNAcentral describes it as "MIR390 microRNA precursor family". It matches the Rfam family "MIR390 microRNA precursor family". The record is from Rfam by way of RNAcentral. Lineage: Eukaryota; Viridiplantae; Streptophyta; Magnoliopsida; Alismatales; Zosteraceae.